AGAGUUUGAUCAUGCUUCAGGAUGAACGCUGGCGGCGUGCCUAAUACAUGCAAGUCGAGCGAACAGAUAAGGAGCUUGCUCCUUUGACGUUAGCGGCGGACGGGUGAGUAACACGUGGGUAACCUACCUGUAAGACUGGGAUAACUUCGGGAAACCGGAGCUAAUACCGGAUAAUAUUUCGAACCGCAUGGUUCGAUAGUGAAAGAUGGUUUUGCUAUCACUUAUAGAUGGACCCGCGCCGUAUUAGCUAGUUGGUAAGGUAACGGCUUACCAAGGCAACGAUACGUAGCCGACCUGAGAGGGUGAUCGGCCACACUGGAACUGAGACACGGUCCAGACUCCUACGGGAGGCAGCAGUAGGGAAUCUUCCGCAAUGGGCGAAAGCCUGACGGAGCAACGCCGCGUGAGUGAUGAAGGUCUUCGGAUCGUAAAACUCUGUUAUUAGGGAAGAACAUACGUGUAAGUAACUAUGCACGUCUUGACGGUACCUAAUCAGAAAGCCACGGCUAACUACGCGCCAGCAGCCGCGGUAAUACGUAGGUGGCAAGCGUUAUCCGGAAUUAUUGGGCGUAAAGCGCGCGUAGGCGGUUUUUUAAGUCUGAUGUGAAAGCCCACGGCUCAACCGUGGAGAGUCAUUGGAAACUGGAAAACUUGAGUGCAGAAGAGGAAAGUGGAAUUCCAUGUGUAGCGGUGAAAUGCGCAGAGAUAUGGAGGAACACCAGUGGCGAAGGCGACUUUCUGGUCUGUAACUGACGCUGAUGUGCGAAAGCGUGGGGAUCAAACAGGAUUAGAUACCCUGGUAGUCC
This 806-nucleotide ribosomal RNA is filed under the name uncultured bacterium. Its description in RNAcentral is "bacterial SSU rRNA". It matches the Rfam family "Bacterial small subunit ribosomal RNA", at positions 8 to 796 of the family's 1533-position model. The record is from RNAcentral.